CCUACGGGUGGCAGCAGUAAGGAAUAUUGGACAAUGUCCGCAAGGGUGAUCCAGCCAUGCCGCGUGCAGGAAGACGGCCCUAUGGGUUGUAAACUGCUUUUGUACCGGAGAAAACCUCCCCUCGUGAGGGGAGCUGAUAGUAUGGUAAGAAUAAGCAUCGGCUAACUUCGUGCCAGCAGCCGCGGUAAGACGAAGGAUGCAAGCGUUAUCCGGAUUCAUUGGGUUUAAAGGGAGCGUAGGUGGCCUUAUAAGUCAGUGGUGAAAUCUCCUCGCUUAACGAGGAAAUUGCCAUUGAUACUGUAGGGCUUGAGUAUAGUUGCCGUUGGCGGAAUAUGACAUGUAGUGGUGAAAUACAUAGAGAUGUCAUAGAACACCGAUUGCGAAGGCAGCUGACGAAACUAUAACUGACACUGAGGCUCGAAAGUGCGGGGAUCAAACAG
Molecule: ribosomal RNA, 440 nt
Filed under: uncultured bacterium
Lineage: Bacteria
Description: bacterial SSU rRNA
Rfam family: Bacterial small subunit ribosomal RNA
Source: RNAcentral